This 77-nucleotide transfer RNA is filed under the name Escherichia coli. RNAcentral describes it as "tRNA-Val". It matches the Rfam family "tRNA". Rfam says of the family: Transfer RNA (tRNA) molecules are approximately 80 nucleotides in length. Their secondary structure includes four short double-helical elements and three loops (D, anti-codon, and T loops). RNAcentral also lists the same sequence under 1 other name. Lineage: Bacteria; Pseudomonadati; Pseudomonadota; Gammaproteobacteria; Enterobacterales; Enterobacteriaceae. The record is from RNAcentral.
GCGUUCAUAGCUCAGUUGGUUAGAGCACUACCUUGACAUGGUGGGGGUCGUUGGUUCGAGUCCAAUUGAACGCACCA